RNAcentral lists this ribosomal RNA (497 nucleotides) under uncultured bacterium. RNAcentral's name for it is "partial 16S ribosomal RNA". It matches the Rfam family "Bacterial small subunit ribosomal RNA", at positions 28 to 507 of the family's 1533-position model. The record is from RNAcentral.
GAUGAACGCUGGCGGCGUGCCUAAUACAUGCAAGUCGAGCGAACGGACGAGAAGCUUGCUUCUCUGAUGUUAGCGGCGGACGGGUGAGUAACACGUGGAUAACCUACCUAUAAGACUGGGAUAACUUCGGGAAACCGUAGCUAACACCGGAUAAUAUUUUGAACCGCAUGGUUCAAAAGUGAAAGACGGUCUUGCUGUCACUUAUAGAUGGAUCCGCGCUGCAUUAGCUAGUUGGUAAGGUAACGGCUUACCAAGGCAACGAUGCAUAGCCGACCUGAGAGGGUGAUCGGCCACACUGGAACUGAGACACGGUCCAGACUCCUACGGGAGGCAGCAGUAGGGAAUCUUCCGCAAUGGGCGAAAGCCUGACGGAGCAACGCCGCGUGAGUGAUGAAGGUCUUCGGAUCGUAAAACUCUGUUAUUAGGGAAGAACAUAUGUGUAAGUAACUGUGCACAUCUUGACGGUGCCUAAUCAGAAAGCCACGGCUAACUACGUG